GCUGGUACUGAGUUAUCAGGAUUGAUUCGCAUUAGUGUCACUAAAGUUGGUAUACAAUCUUCCACUGCUAAAUUUGACUGCCUU
This 84-nucleotide non-coding RNA is filed under the name Homo sapiens (human). Lineage: Eukaryota; Metazoa; Chordata; Mammalia; Primates; Hominidae. The record is from RNAcentral.